GAAGAAAGCAAAAAGACAUAAAAAAAAAGGAGGAAGGGGGAGAAAAAGAAGAAGAUGUCAUUGCUGGAUUUUCUCCUACAAAAGUGACAUUGAAGCUAUAAAUUUUCUGGAUUUUGGGACUUUCUUCACGUGGGUCUACUCUUAACUCUAUUGCAUGUUUCUUUUGGUGAUUUUAAUAAAUUCUAUUGUAAAUAUCACUAUAAGUGAGUAGAUUUUUCAAGAUUUCAGAGUUGGGUUGUAAUAUUU
Molecule: unclassified non-coding RNA, 246 nt
Filed under: Hevea brasiliensis (rubber tree)
Lineage: Eukaryota; Viridiplantae; Streptophyta; Magnoliopsida; Malpighiales; Euphorbiaceae
Source: RNAcentral